AGAAUCAACGCUGGCGGCGUGCCUAACACAUGCAAGUCGCACGAGAAAGGGUAGCAAUACCUAAGUAAAGUGGCGCACGGGUGAGUAACACGUGAAUGAUCUACCUCCGAGUGGGGAAUAACUGAGAGAAAUCUUAGCUAAUACCGCAUAACACUUACGAGUCAAAGCAGCAAUGCGCUUGGAGAGGAGUUCGCGGCCGAUUAGUUAGUUGGCGGGGUAAUGGCCCACCAAGACGAUGAUCGGUAUCCGGCCUGAGAGGGCGCACGGACACACUGGAACUGAAACACGGUCCAGACUCCUACGGGAGGCAGCAGUGGGGAAUUUUGCGCAAUGGGGGAAACCCUGACGCAGCAACGCCGCGUGGAGGAUGAAAUAUCUUGGUAUGUAAACUCCUUUCGAUGGGGAAGAUUAUGACGGUACCCAUAGAAGAAGCCCCGGCUAACUUCGUGCCAGCAGCCGC
RNAcentral lists this ribosomal RNA (460 nucleotides) under uncultured bacterium. RNAcentral describes it as "SSU rRNA". It matches the Rfam family "Bacterial small subunit ribosomal RNA", at positions 26 to 518 of the family's 1533-position model. The record is from RNAcentral.